GCGAGAAAACUUUGCAAUGCGCGAAAGCUCGACAAGGUUAAUCUGAGUGGUUCCUGCUAAAGGAACCUUUUGUUAGUCGUAGAACCACUGAUGAAUAAGGGGUGGGCAAGUUCUGGUGUCAGCCGCCGCGGUAAAACCAGCACCUCAAGUGGUCAGGAUGAUUAUUGGGCCUAAAGCAUCUGUAGCCUGUUCUGUAAGUUUUCGGUUAAAUCCAUAAGCUCAACUUAUGGGCUGCCGAAAAUACUGCAUGACUAGGGAGUGGGAGAGGUAGACGGUACUCGGUAGGAAGGGGUAAAAUCCUUUGAUCUAUUGAUGACCACCUGUGGCGAAGGCGGUCUACCAGAACACGUUCGACGGUGAGGGAUGAAAGCUGGGGGAGCAAACCGGAUUAGAUACCCGGGUAGUCCCAGCUGUAAACGAUGCAAACUCGAUGAUGCGUUGGCUUGUUGCUAGCGCAGUGUCGCAGGGAAGCCGUUAAGUUUGCCGCCUGGGAAGUACGUACGCAAGUAUGAAACUUAA
Molecule: ribosomal RNA, 519 nt
Filed under: uncultured archaeon
Lineage: Archaea
Description: bacterial SSU rRNA
Rfam family: Archaeal small subunit ribosomal RNA
Source: RNAcentral